CUAAGGCUGUGUAGAUUGAAUCUUAGUGUGCAAUUGAGUCGCAUUGUACUGGUUUUCUUAGUUUUGAUCUACACAGUAGCUGUCUAGUAUGAAUUGCUAUGUUAUUAGGCUUAUCCCUAUUCGGCUACAUGUCACUGCUCGAGUUUUAGUUCACUAGCAUGAUCUAUUAAGUUAAGAUUAGACCGAAAUAGAUCUAAGUUAAGCCAAAUUUCAUGCCUAAGCUACUAGAUCAGAUCCUAAUUCAU
This 245-nucleotide long non-coding RNA is filed under the name Setaria italica (foxtail millet). Its description in RNAcentral is "long non-coding RNA (SITA_LNC003980)". The record is from RNAcentral. Lineage: Eukaryota; Viridiplantae; Streptophyta; Magnoliopsida; Poales; Poaceae.